GAUGAACGCUAGCGAUAGGCCUAACACAUGCAAGUCGAGGGGCAGCAUAAGGAAGUAGCAAUACUUUCUGGUGGCGACCGGCGCACGGGUGAGUAACACGUAUGCAACCUGCCUUCAACAAGGGCAUAACCCGUUGAAAGACGGACUAAUACCCUAUAAUACAGGGGCCCCGCAUGGGGAUAUUUGUUAAAGAUUUAUCGGUUGAAGAUGGGCAUGCGUUCCAUUAGCUGGUUGGUGGGGUAACGGCCCACCAAGGCAACGAUGGAUAGGGGAACUGAGAGGUUUAUCCCCCACACUGGUACUGAGACACGGACCAGACUCCUACGGGAGCAGCAGUGAGGAAUAUUGGUCAAUGGACGCAAGUCUGAACCAGCCACGUCGCGUGAAGGAAGACGGCCCUACGGGUUGUAAACUUCUUUUAUACGGGAAUAAAGUGCCCCACGUGUGGGGUUUUCAAGUACCGUAUGAAUAAGGAUCGGCU
This 481-nucleotide ribosomal RNA is filed under the name uncultured bacterium. RNAcentral's name for it is "bacterial SSU rRNA". It matches the Rfam family "Bacterial small subunit ribosomal RNA", at positions 28 to 498 of the family's 1533-position model. The record is from RNAcentral.